UUCCGGUUGAUCCUGCCGGACCUGACUGCUAUCGGAUUGAUACUAAGCCAUGCGAGUCAUUGUAGCAAUACAAGGCAUACGGCUCAGUAACGCGUAGUCAACCUAACCUAUGGACGGGAAUAACCUCGGGAAACUGAGAAUAAUACCCGAUAGAACAUUAUGCCUGGAAUGGUUUAUGUUUCAAAUAAUUUAUUGCCGUAGGAUGGGACUGCGGCCUAUCAGUUUGUUGGUGAGGUAAUGGCCCACCAAGACUAUUACAGGUACGGGCUCUGAGAGGAGUAGCCCGGAGAUGGGUACUGAGACACGGACCCAGGCCCUAUGGGGCGCAGCAGGCGAGAAAACUUUGCAAUGUGCGAAAGCACGACAAGGUUAAUCCGAGUGGUUUCUGCUAAAGGAACCUUUUGUUAGUCAUAGAACCACUAAUGAAUAAGGGGUGGGCAAGUUCUGGUGUCAGCCGCCGCGGUAAAACCAGCACCUCAAGUGGUCAGGAUGAUUAUUGGGCCUAAAGCAUCCGUAGCCUGUUUUGUAAGUUUUCGGUUAAAUCCAUACGCUUAACGUAUGGGCUGCCGGGAAUACUGCAGAACUAGGGAGUGGGAGAGGUAGACGGUACUCGGUAGGAAGGGGUAAAAUCCUUUGAUCUAUCGAUGACCACCUGUGGCGAAGGCGGUCUACCAGAACACGUCCGACGGUGAGGGAUGAAAGCUGGGGGAGCAAACCGGAUUAGAUACCCGGGUAGUCCCAGCUGUAAACUAUGCAAACUCGGUGAUGCAUUGGCUUGAUGCCAAUGCAGUGCCGCAGGGAAGCCGUUAAGUUUGCCGCCUGGGAAGUACGUACGCAAGUAUGAAACUUAAAGGAAUUGGCGGGGGAGCACCACAAGGGGUGAAGCCUGCGGUUCAAUUGGACUCAACGCCGGA
RNAcentral lists this ribosomal RNA (914 nucleotides) under uncultured archaeon. RNAcentral's name for it is "bacterial SSU rRNA". It matches the Rfam family "Archaeal small subunit ribosomal RNA", at positions 1 to 922 of the family's 1478-position model. The record is from RNAcentral.